CCAGACUCCUACGGGAGGCAGCAGUGAGGAAUAUUGGUCAAUGGGCGGGAGCCUGAACCAGCCAAGUCGCGUGAGGGAUGACGGCCCUAUGGGUUGUAAACCUCUUUUGCCGGGGAGCAAAGUGCCGCACGUGUGCGGUUUGGAGAGUACCCGGAGAAAAAGCAUCGGCUAACUCCGUGCCAGCAGCCGCGGUAAUACGGAGGAUGCGAGCGUUAUCCGGAUUUAUUGGGUUUAAAGGGUGCGCAGGCGGAAGAUCAAGUCAGCGGUAAAAUGGGGAGGCCCAACCUCUGCGAGCCGUUGAAACUGGUUUUCUUGAGUGAGCGAGAAGUAUGCGGAAUGCGUGGUGUAGCGGUGAAAUGCAUAGAUAUCACGCAGAACUCCGAUUGCGAAGGCAGCAUACCGGCGCCCGACUGACGCUGAGGCACGAAAGCGUGGGGAUCGAACAGGAUUAGAUACCCGGGUA
Molecule: ribosomal RNA, 463 nt
Filed under: uncultured bacterium
Lineage: Bacteria
Description: bacterial SSU rRNA
Rfam family: Bacterial small subunit ribosomal RNA
Source: RNAcentral